GCUGGGGGUCACACUGCACUGGGGUGUCCAGUGGGGUCAGGGCUAGGGGGGUCACACUGCACUGGGGUGUCCAGUGGGGUCAGGGCUGGGGGGGUCACACUGCCCUGGGGUGUCCAGUGGGGGCCUGACCUUGCUGAGCUCCUCUCGGCUGUCCUGCGUCCUGCCUCUGCUCCUCACUCCUAUCUCGCUUCACGCCGGCUCCCUCUGUCUGCUGACUUCUGAUUCUCUCCCUCUCUCUCCUCCUGUCUCUCCUCUCCCUCUCUCUCCUCCUCCUCCUCCUGUCUCUCCUCUCCCUCUCUCCUCCUCCUCCUGUCUCUCCUCUCCCUCUCUCUCCCCCUGCCCUCCUGUUUCUCCUCUCCCUCUCCCUUUCCCUCUCCUCCUCCUCUCUCUCCCCCUGCCCUCCUGUGUCUCCUCUCCCUCUCCCUUUCCCUCUCCUCCUCCUCUCUCUCCCCCUGCCCUCCUGUGUCUCCUCUCCCUCUCCUCCUCCUCCUCCUCUCUCUCCCCCUGCCCUCCUGUGUCUCCUCUCCCUCUCCCUCCCCCUGCCCUCCCGUGUCUCCUCUCCCUCAGUGUCUGACCCUGUGUCCUGACCCCACAGACCCGCGAGGGGAGGGGAAGGAGCGGAGUCCCGCGGAGAGAGCCCGAGCCGACCCCGAGCCCCAAGGCCGACACGUCAAGCUCGGCGGCCAGGACUGGAGCCCCAGACCCGCCAAGGGCGGGGACUCCUCACCGUUUCCCUGGCAACAGCCUGCCACGCCCACCCGCCGCCUGGGCCGCCCGCCGGAGGCGUCUCCCCGGCGACCCGCCGCCUGCUCCUCCCCUUCCUCCCUGUUUCCCUGGGAACGGGAGAGGAGCCCGCCCGCCCCCCGGAGACCGCCGGCCGAGAAGCCGCCACCCUCCCGCCGGCACGCCGACGACAUCGCUGACGGCGACAGCGCGUCGCAUUCUGGGGCGGAGGAGGACCCUCGGAAAGAGAAUGAAGGAGCUGGCGGAGCAGCAGCGUCUGUGCCGCAGCCUGGAGAGCCAGUGGCAGCAGGAGAGCAGCAAGCUGGGGCAGGAGCUGCAGCAGGCCCGGGCCCAGCACCACGCCCUGCAGGCGCAGGCCGACAAGGUGAGGCCCUCCCGCCGGGGCUCCUGCAGGCUCGGCCUGCGAUUCGUCCCUCCUCCGCCUGCUGCGACUCGCAGGGAGCGACACUCUGAGUCACUCGGGUGGCCCCCCCCCCCGCCUGCCCGGAAAGGAAUCGCACAGACGCCCCCGAGGGCGGGAAACCGAACCGGCCGGUUUGGCGCUGGAACGCUGCUUGUGCUCUUGUCCUCUGCCACGUGGCUGCUUGUUCCACCCUCCCACCACCCUUUGGGCACAGACGAGCCUCCCGUCGUCGUCUGUCUCUUGCUUCUCCCCCCCAACCCCACCCCUGCUCCGCGUGGAGAAUCUCCCCAGCCUCGCCUCGCCUCGCCUCGCCGUCUUUCUCGGAAACCUGUGCCGUCGGGCUGAGUCACAGCAGCCCUUCGUUUCCAGCAGCUCACGCGCGUGAGAGAGAGGGGUUCGCGGGGGCGCAGGACAGCCCACUCCCACUCCCACUCCCACUCCCACUCCCACUCCCGCCUGCGCUGCGCGGGUCCGAACCGAUAACGGCUCAGUGUCGCUUGGAGUCUCGUCCCCGGAGGAGCAGCUGUGCGGGCUCCUCGGCGAGGGGGGGCUUGUUUACAGCCGGGCAGAGCCAGGGAGCGUAAAUGUUUCCAUUGCUCCCUCUGCGCUGGCGGGCAGUGUCCCGUUUUCUCUCCUGCCUCCUGUGAGCCUCGUCUAGCUCCUCCUCCUCCUCCUCCUCCUCCUCUCCCUGCCUGUGCCCUGGGAGUCCAGGCCCGGCAGCAGGCGGCCCGAUCGCAGAGCGACUCCCCUGCGUCUGUAACCCGAGAGGGAGAGACUUUGACCUUGCUGGGAUGUUUAUCUCUGUUGCUUCCCAGCGCGCACUCUGCCUGGGUGGUGUGAGUUCGCUCUCUCACUCUCUCUCUCUCACUCUCGGUCUCUGGAGCACCCCUGGGGGGGGAGGGCUGGGACGAGGCAGGGGGAGGAAGGAAUGGGGAGACGGGCAGGGACACUGGGGUGCACCCCCUUCCCUGGAGGUCUAGAGACCCUGCUCUGCAAUUCAGAAUAUCCCCGGCCCAGUGGACAGACAGCU
RNAcentral lists this long non-coding RNA (2177 nucleotides) under Lepisosteus oculatus (spotted gar). Its description in RNAcentral is "lncRNA (ENSLOCG00000021989.1)". The record is from RNAcentral. Lineage: Eukaryota; Metazoa; Chordata; Actinopteri; Semionotiformes; Lepisosteidae.